This 879-nucleotide ribosomal RNA is filed under the name Triticum aestivum (bread wheat). RNAcentral's name for it is "partial small subunit ribosomal RNA". Lineage: Eukaryota; Viridiplantae; Streptophyta; Magnoliopsida; Poales; Poaceae. The record is from RNAcentral.
AUGGACAUCAUCACCUGCGACAACCGGCACCGGGCAGCCGACAAGCUCCAGUCCGUCGCGCGACUUGACGACGCCUCCUGCUUCAUUCCUGUGGCCUGUUGUGACGGCCUCCUCGUCUUUCGCACCAAUAGUAAGAGGGGUGAGAGGCGCCUCUCCAUCUGCAACCCGGCCACUCGUCAAUAUGCUCCCCUCCACCAGCUUAAUGGCUUCAAGCUUUUGGGGAUGUACCCACACGGCCCUACCGGCGAGUACCGACUAUUGCUCUACCUGAAAUCUGAUGCUCAAAGUGGCUCCUAUGUCUUCACAUUGGGCUCUGCCCAGCCGCCGAGGCACAUAAGGGGCCCUGACGCCAAGGAAUUGAUGAAUUCCCGUGGAUCUGUCCUUCUCCGUGGUAGCUUGCAUUGGCACACAGACAACCUCAUAAUGGUAUUUGACACCACCACCGAGUCAUUCCGGCAGAUGCGCUCUCCGAUUAUUUCUGGCCAUGUCGGCAUGUUUGAGAUGGGUGACAUGCUUGGCAUGUUCAGUCUUAAUGACGAAGAGACCAUUGUUGAUAUCUGGGUGAUGCGGGACUAUCAAGGCCAAGUCUGGGCCUCCAAAGGCAGGGUUGAAUUUCCCAUUGAAGAGCUCAUGGCGCAAUCUGAAGAUCUUGGUAGUUGCUGGGAAGUGGAGACCACAUAUUGGGAUGGUGAUCUGCUGGUGCUGGCCAAAUUUGACGACGGCUCGCUACAUCAGAUUGACAUCGCUGGCAAGUUGGUUGACAGUUUCCGUCACAGAGUCCUCUGUCCUACCCAACUUCGGCUGAAACAAUCUCUAGUUCCACAUACCUUCUUUCUGGCACUAGAGGGUUAUGUUGUCAAUGCUUCGCCUUUCAUUUGA